Long non-coding RNA from Capsicum annuum, 749 nucleotides. RefSeq lists it as uncharacterized. The transcript is spliced from 3 exons. The record is from RefSeq and is a predicted model, not a curated record. NCBI's taxonomy places the organism in Eukaryota, Viridiplantae, Streptophyta, Magnoliopsida, Solanales, Solanaceae.
CAAAACAAAUUAUGUACACAAAGACCAUUACCAAGUCGUCGACCCACACUAAAAACCGGAUAAUGGGGAAAAUUAGACAAAAUUGUCCAAAUAAGCAAAACAGGAAAGUUCUAGAUAAUCCACAAAAAUAUCCUCGUGUCUUCUCUUCUCCAGUCGCCGUUGAUGCCAACGAAGAUGCCAUUGACGCCAAGUUCAUGAGUUUCCGCUUGAAGAAGACAUACAAAGGUUAAGCCCAACAAGGAUCUAAUAUCACUGUCUAAAGAAGAUGAAACCAAAGAUUCAUCAACAUCAUUAUCACAUAAAACACGAAGUGAUGGAAGCCUUUUUGCAAUCCAUAGCAAAAACACAGGACUUUUUGCUAGCCUUGCACAGGAAAGGCAUGCCUGAAUUUAUCACUUGUCUGGAACUCAAUAUCCAGCAACCGUUUGGUGGAUUCUAUGGGAAGAAAGAAAUGCUAGAGUUUUUGUGAAUAAGAAAAAGACGCAUCUUAAGGAUAAGGAAUUGAUGGCGUUGCUUAGUUUUUGGUGCAACAUGGCAAAAGCCAAACUGAAACUUUUUAAGAGGUCGUUUAUGCAUGCAUUAAUUAAUGUGUAUUAUGAAUACCUUGUUUGGUACAAUUUUUAGUCUUGUGUAUAACUACACUCUAGUGUAUUAAGGUGUGUAUUACUAAUACCACCCAUUUUCUAUGUAUUAGUAAUGCAAAAAGGCUUUAAUAUAUGCAUUAGCUUGAUUAAUGACAUUACUACCCC